This is a non-coding RNA of Parelaphostrongylus tenuis, 73 nucleotides long. The record is from the annotation of a GenBank genome assembly. NCBI's taxonomy places the organism in Eukaryota, Metazoa, Nematoda, Chromadorea, Rhabditida, Metastrongylidae.
GCCUCUGUGGCGUAGUGGUAGCACGCUCAUCCCAGGUGUGGAUGAAACGCGGGUUCGAUUUCCGCCUGAGGCC